AACGCCUCGAACAGCGUGUCAGAGAACUGGAGGAAGAUCGGCAGCGGUUAAGCCGGCAGCUGGAUACAUUUAAUGAUCUGAGAAAUAUGCUGGCUGAGGUCUUGGCCAGCCAUCGCCAGCCCCCAACCAGCCAUCACCAGCCCCCAACCAGCCAUCACCAGCCCCCAACCAGCCAUCACCAGCCCCCAACCAGCCAUCACCAGCCCCCAACCAGCCAUCACCAGCCCCCAACCAGUCAACCAAGAACAGGCAAAUGAUGAUGUUGUCAUUGGAGGAACCCUCAGGGUCAACAAAAUUCAAUUGCAAAGAUGCAACCACCAACUCCCGACCAAGCUGGUGUGCGACCUGCUAGGAGUUGUAUUUUCAAAAAGAGAGAUGGCCACCUCGUCCCUGACUGGACAAAAGGGCAGUGCCAAAGACGAAAUAAAACCACCACUGGAGGCCACCGCGGUCAAAGCUAUUUUUGAAUACACUCUGCAGAAAUUUCCUAAUGUGGAACUAUCCGUCCUGAGGGGAGCCGUCAGGAAUAAGUUAAACAAUGUCAGCAAGCUGUUCAAGAAAACACAGGCUGAAGCUGGAUCCGAUGAACCCUGAUCCCUCAGACAUUGAAUUAUUUGUG
Neoarius graeffei (lesser salmon catfish) is the source of this 619-nucleotide long non-coding RNA. RefSeq lists it as uncharacterized. The record is from RefSeq and is a predicted model, not a curated record. The transcript is spliced from 5 exons. Lineage: Eukaryota; Metazoa; Chordata; Actinopteri; Siluriformes; Ariidae.